This is a long non-coding RNA of Alexandromys fortis (reed vole), 1282 nucleotides long. RefSeq lists it as uncharacterized. Lineage: Eukaryota; Metazoa; Chordata; Mammalia; Rodentia; Cricetidae. The transcript is spliced from 2 exons. The record is from RefSeq and is a predicted model, not a curated record.
AAGGAGGGGGGUUGCAAAGCACCCCACUAAUUUGCUAAUUUGGCUAAGGUAAGAGCAAAGGUCUGAUAGUACUCCUACAGGAUUUUUAGAAAGACUAUUAGAGCGGUACAGGAUGUAAACUCAUUUUAAUCCCAUGGCAGCAGAUCGCCAAGCCAAUGUAGUGAUGUCUUUUAUAGGCCAGUCAGCAUCAGACAGCAAGUUGCAGAGAAUGGAGGGACGGCAGAGAUGCUCCCUCCAGGACUUAAUAAAAAAAAAAUUACAUUGUACAUACAGACCCCAGAGUUCAGGACAGGUAAAAAGGAUAAAUAAAGACCCUUACCAAAUUGGCCUUUGGAAUCUGACACUAGAGACUGGGUACAGCUCCUUUCCUUAGCCCCAUUCUGUGUAUGAAACACCCCGUCUCAGCUUGGACUAACCCCCUAUGAGAUCCAAUAUGGAGGACCCCCCCUCUUAGUUUCCUAAGGCCCCUCAUGACCCAUUUGCUCACAAACCCCAUCUGCAGGAGUGGUUGAAGGCUCUCCAGAUCUCCGAGCCCAGGCAUAGAGACCCCUGGCCACCCUGACACCUGAAAAUCUCACAUUCGUUCCAGAAUUGACGCCUGGGGUAUAUCCGGAGGGACAUGAAAAAAGCUACAGCACCCCACAGCCAGAACAGCAGCUGCCCGCUCAUACCUGCAAUCCAUGCCUCCUCAAGCCCUUGCUUUGAUACCCCUGCCCUCACCCCUGAUUUCUGUCAACUAGUAGCAGGGCUAGCUAGCCUCCUGGGAUAUCUGAGAUACAUAUCCCCCACAGCUGCCCCUGGAGGCUGGCAGAUUUUCCCCUGGAGAAAAUAUUUAGACAAGGGGGUUCAGACAUCUCCCCCACUUGUCUCCUAGGGGCGAGAAGCGGGACUGUCUCCAUGGGUGUCGGGAAGGACUUGGGACAUAAAAUGGUAUUUAUCUGACCAGAGCCUGCUGCUGCAGGCCAGACUAGACCCUCCCUAAAGGGGCCCUAGCUAUCCCUGCUGCUGCAGGCCAGACUAGACCCUCCGUAACGGGGCCCUAGCUAUCCCUGCUGCUGCCCGCUGGACUAGGCUACUCUCCCUGCUUCUCUGCUGGCACCUCCCAACACCAGCCCGGGCACCCGGAAAUCUCACACCCGUUCCAGCCUGGAUCCAUGCAUCUCACGUCAAGCCUACACCUCCACAGGACGACCCAGGACCAUCCAAAUGAAAGCUUCCACGUACCCAAAAUCCUCUCAACGAGGCCUGAUUCUGCCAGGCUUGCUGAUCUUUGCCCUGAUGU